GACGAACGCUGGCGGCGUGCCUAAUACAUGCAAGUCGAGCGGACGAAUCGAAAGCUUGCUUUUGAUUCGUUAGCGGCGGACGGGUGAGUAACACGUGGGCAACCUGCCCUGUAGACGGGGAUAACACCGAGAAAUCGGUGCUAAUACCGGAUAACACGAAAUGUCGCAUGACGUUUCGUUGAAAGACGGCGCAAGCUGUCGCUACAGGAUGGGCCCGCGGCGCAUUAGCUAGUUGGUGAGGUAACGGCUCACCAAGGCGACGAUGCGUAGCCGACCUGAGAGGGUGAUCGGCCACACUGGGACUGAGACACGGCCCAGACUCCUACGGGAGGCAGCAGUAGGGAAUCUUCCGCAAUGGACGAAAGCCUGACGGAGCAACGCCGCGUGAGCGAAGAAGGCCUUCGGGUCGUAAAGCUCUGUUGUUAGGGAAGAACAAGUAACGCAGUAACUGGCGUUACCGUGACGGUACCUAACGAGAAAGCCACGGCUAACUACGUG
Molecule: ribosomal RNA, 498 nt
Filed under: uncultured bacterium
Lineage: Bacteria
Description: partial 16S ribosomal RNA
Rfam family: Bacterial small subunit ribosomal RNA
Source: RNAcentral